Long non-coding RNA from Cygnus olor (mute swan), 491 nucleotides. RefSeq lists it as uncharacterized. Lineage: Eukaryota; Metazoa; Chordata; Aves; Anseriformes; Anatidae. The record is from RefSeq and is a predicted model, not a curated record. The transcript has 3 exons.
UUCACUUGUGGUUUUCCACGUGGUUCGCACUGCUUCCAUUAUUGAGAAAACGGUUUGGGAAGCUGUGUCUGCCACUUCUCAGGAUUUUCUGCCACCACCUGCUGGCAAAAAAAAUCAGUAACGCAGGUGGAGCCAUGUAGGACUUCUCAGAGGUAAGCCUUCAACGUAUGGGGACCCCUAAACUCGUGAGCCGAGCACGCAAGACAAAUGUCCGUGGCACAAAGAUCAAGGACGACUUCUCAGAGAUCUCGAUUGGGUUGGCUUUUUUGAACCCAUCUGCAUAGCCUUUUGUUUUUUAGAUAGUCUACUAAGUAGGUAAACCUUAGGAGGAAUCGGUCAAAGGAAACAGCAACUGUCAAGUUGCUGUUCGGCAAAAAUCUGUCAAGUUCUUGUUCGGCAACUCGGUGACUGGUUUGAUCUACUUCUCAGAUGUAGAGGUAAAUGGACUGCUCUUUUGAAAUGAUAAAAUAAAAAACAUGAAGUUUGUCAAA